RNAcentral lists this transfer RNA (72 nucleotides) under Rickettsiales bacterium (ex Bugula neritina AB1). Its description in RNAcentral is "tRNA-Glu". It matches the Rfam family "tRNA". Rfam says of the family: Transfer RNA (tRNA) molecules are approximately 80 nucleotides in length. Their secondary structure includes four short double-helical elements and three loops (D, anti-codon, and T loops). Further hydrogen bonds mediate the characteristic L-shaped molecular structure. tRNAs have two regions of fundamental functional importance: the anti-codon, which is responsible for specific mRNA codon recognition, and the 3' end, to which the tRNAs corresponding amino acid is attached (by aminoacyl-tRNA synthetases). tRNAs cope with the degeneracy of the genetic code in two manners: having more than one tRNA (with a specific anti-codon) for a particular amino acid; and 'wobble' base-pairing, i.e. permitting non-standard base-pairing at the 3rd anti-codon position. The record is from RNAcentral. Lineage: Bacteria; Pseudomonadati; Pseudomonadota; Alphaproteobacteria; Rickettsiales.
GUCUCCAUCGUCUAGUAGUUAGGACAACAGGCUUUCAAUCUGUUAACACGGGUGCAAUUCCCGUUGGAGAUG